This 201-nucleotide unclassified non-coding RNA is filed under the name Hevea brasiliensis (rubber tree). Lineage: Eukaryota; Viridiplantae; Streptophyta; Magnoliopsida; Malpighiales; Euphorbiaceae. The record is from RNAcentral.
UGCAUUUUCACUUUAAUUCUAAGUUAAAUUAACUAGAAACAUAGGAAUUCAAUUAAAAAUUUCAAGUUUCAUCACUAACCUUUCUUUGAUUUUUACUUUUUCACUUUUUUCUCUUUUCUUCCUUUCUUUUCUUCUUUAAUCUCCUUUUCUAUGGUGAAUUAUAAGUUUUUGAGAGUUUAGGGUUGGAAUUUAUGGGACAAA